GACGAACGCUGGCGGCGUGCUUAACACAUGCAAGUCGAACGGUGAAGGGAUCAGCUUGCUGGUUCUGGAUGAGUGGCGAACGGGUGAGUAACACGUGAGUAACCUGCCCCCUUCUUCUGGAUAACCGCAUGAAAGUGUGGCUAAUACGGGAUAUUCUGCGCCUGCUGCAUGGUGGGUGUGGAAAGAUAUUGUUUCGGUGGGGGAUGGGCUCGCGGCCUAUCAGCUUGUUGGUGGGGUGAUGGCCUACCAAGGCGGUGACGGGUAGCCGGCCUGAGAGGGUGGACGGUCACACUGGGACUGAGACACGGCCCAGACUCCUACGGGAGGCAGCAGUGGGGAAUAUUGCACAAUGGGCGCAAGCCUGAUGCAGCGACGCCGCGUGAGGGAUGGAGGCCUUCGGGUUGUGAACCUCUUUCGCCAGUGAAGCAGGCCUGUCCCUUGUGGGUGGGUUGACGGUAGCUGGAUAAGAAGCGCCGGCUAACUACGUG
RNAcentral lists this ribosomal RNA (488 nucleotides) under uncultured bacterium. Its description in RNAcentral is "partial 16S ribosomal RNA". It matches the Rfam family "Bacterial small subunit ribosomal RNA", at positions 28 to 507 of the family's 1533-position model. The record is from RNAcentral.